CAAAGUGAUGAUCAUUAUUAUUGUUAAUGAAAAACAUAGCAUAUCUUUAAUUUGGGUUUCACAUUUUGGACAUGUUUUCAAUAUAAAUGUGCCUUUAAUCUCAAAUGGACAAAAUGUAUUAUCACUGUUGUUAUAGUUUCAGCUGUUUUUAACAUGUCAUUUUAUUGAUUAUUUGGGGGCACUUCAAAAACAUGGGGAAAUGAGGAUAUUAUGAAAUUUUACUAUUAAUUGGUUUCCUGAUUUGGAUUAAUUUGUGUAAUUAUUGGAUAUCUAGAAUAAAAUCAUUGAAGGAAAUAAAUAAAAGUAAGCACUUAACAAAUCAAAUGUUUCUAAAUAUACAAAAAAUUAACCCAAAUUUUUAAAGGGUCACAUGAUCUAGGAUUAACCUUUAAUUAAAAAGAAGUUCAAGUUGGGAGUUCCCACAGUGGCUCAGUGGUAAUGAACCCAAUUAGUAUCCAUGAGGACAUGGGAUUGAUCCCUGGCCCCCCACUCAGUGUGUUAAGGAUAUGGUGUUGUAGCGAGCUCUGGUAUAUGUUAAAGAUGCAGCUUGGAUCUGGCGUUUCUGGGUGUAGCCUGGAAUUGUCUAUGUGCCGUGGGUGUGGCCCUAAAAAGACCAAAAAAAACCCCAUCAACUUGAACUUUUUUUUUUUUAAUACAGACGUCUUUAGAAUUAUCAACAUUAAGUAGAAUGCUUUUAUUGUACCUAGGUUUACUAAAAAUAUAUAGGCUAAUGUUAUUUCUGUUAAGAAAUUUGUCAACAAGAAAUUGGUAUGAUAUUUUCACAAGUAAUAGAGUUAAAUGGGAUAAAAUUUCUUAGUUAAAUACCUUAAGAAUUGUGUUUUAUGUAUGUCUACUGAAAAAUAGUUUCUCCCGACUUUUGAUAACUUGAAAAUUUAGUGUUUGGCUAAAUUAAAACAGAUGAUGGAAAUUCACUGAAUAUUCAGAUCAUUUCUAAUUAAGAUAAAAUACUGACACACCAUUUGCUAAGCACGUCUGAGUUUACCUACUUCGGCUUAUUAGAGAGAAACUAAAAAAGAUUAUUGAGUUUAUACGGGCUCAUGUCUUAUACCACACUGAGAAAAGAAGUUCUGCUCUGAGAAAAUAUGUAUUUCUAGAGCUUAUGAUUCCAAAACCAUAACUUAGGUUCAUAAGUUUGCCAUUCAAAAAAUACAGGAAUAGAACACAGUUGACAUUUGUUGCUUCUUGGCUUUUGCUAGCAAGUAAGGGUUUGUUGUUGUUGUUGUUGUUGCCACACAUGCAGCACAUGGAAAUUCCUGGGCCAGGGAUCAAACCCAUGCAGCAUACCUAAGCCACUGAAGUGACAAUGCCAGAUCCUUAAUCUGCUGUGCCACAAGAUAACUCCUAUAGAGAUUAAGGUUUUUUAAAUUGUUAAAAAUUACUUGUAAUUAAAACUACUAGAAAUAAUAAGGAAAGUACUUUAAUUUACAAGGAAAAUAGGAUGUUUUCAGUAAAAGAAGAUAUGGAAAAUGGAAAUGCAUUUUAAGAGAAAAGAAAGUGGUUUUGUGUGUGUGUGUCCUGAAGUAUCUCAAAGUGAUAUUAAACUAAUGAGGCUUAUUUGGGAUUGAAUGAUUGAUAAAUAGGAUGAUUUUUAUGACUUUUUACAUGAAAUAUUACUGGCCUUUAAUCUUUGCUUUUCAGAUAUAACCAAACCUUUCCCUUUAAGCUAAUUCUAAUUUACAGAAAUUCAGAAAUUCAGUAAAUUGUACCUUUAUAAGCGGAAUUGAAGCAUUUAUCUUUAAAAUUUUUUUAUUAUAGUUGAUUUAUAGUGUUGUGCCAAUUUCUGCUGUACCGCGUAGUGACCCAAAUAUAUGUUCCAUCAUAUUCUAUCCCAAGAGAUUGGAUAUAAUUCCCUGUGCUACACAGCAGGACCUCAUAGCUUAUCCAUUCUAAAUGUAAUAGAUUGCAUCUACUAACCCCAGACUCUCCAUCCAUCCUGCUUGCUCCAUCCUCCUCUCCUUGUCAGGGGUGUUCUCUAUGUCUAUGAGUCUGUUUCUGUUUUGUAUAUAGGUUCAUUUGUGCCAUAUUUUAGAUUCCACAUAUAUGGUAUUUGUCUUUCCCUUUCUGAUUUCACUUAGUGUGAUAAUUUCUAGUUCCAUCCAUGUUGUUGCAAAUGGCUUGAUUUCAUUCUUUUUGGUGGCUGAGUAUUCCACUGUAUAUAUGUACCACCUCAUCCUGAUUUGUUCGUCUUUUGAUGGACAUUUAGGUGGUUUGCAUGUCUUGGCUAUUGUGAAUAGUGCUGCUAUGAACACAGGGGUGCAUGUAUCUUUUUGGAUUGUAGUUUUGUCUGGAUAUAUGCCCAGGAGUGGGAUUCCUUGGUCAUAAUGUAGUUCCAUAUUUAGCUUUCUGAGGAACUGCCAUAUUGUUUUCCAUAGUGGCUGUAACAAUUUACAUUCCCACCAACAGUGUAGGAGGGUUUCCUUUUCUCGACACCCUCUACAACAUUUCUUAUUUGUAGACUUGUUAAUGAUGGCCAUUCUGGCUGGUGUGAGGUGGUACAUCAUAGUAGUUUUGAUUUGCCUUUCUCUAAUAAUUAGUGAUUUUGAGCGACUUUUCGUGUGCUUACUGACUAUCCAUGUGUCUUUGGAGAAAUGUCUAUUUAGGUUUUCUGCCCAUUUUUUUGAUUGGGUUGUUUGCUUUUUUGUUGAGUUGUAUGAGUUGUUUAUAUCUUUUGGUGAUUAGAUAUAUAUAUUUUGGUGAUUAGACCCUUGACGGUUACAUCAUUUGUAAAGAUUUUCUUCCAUCUCUGGCGUGUCUUUUUUUUUUUUUUUUUUUUUUUUUUUUNAAUUUUCUACUAUACAGUAAGGUGAGCCAGUCACACAUACGUAUACACAUUCUUUUUUUCACAUUAUCAUGCUCCAUCGUAAGUGACUAGAUAGAGUUCCCAGUGCUAUACAGCAGAAUCUCAUGCUUAUCCAUUCCAAAGGCAAUAGUUUGCAUCUAUUAACCCCAAAUUCCCAGUCCAUCCCACUCUCUCCCCCUUGGCAACCACUAGUCUAUUCUCCAAGUACAUGAGUUUCUUUUCUGUGGAAAGCUUCAUUUGUGCCAUAUAUUAGAUUCUAGAUGUAAGCAAUAUCACAUGGUAUUUGUCUUUUUCUUCCUGACUUAUUCCAUUUAGUAUGAAAAUCUCUAGUUCCAUCCAUGUUGCUGAAAAUGGCUUUGUUCUUUUUUAUGGCUGAGGAGUAUUCCAUUGUGUAUAUAUACCAAACUUUCUUAAUCCAUUCAACUGUUGAUGGACAUUUAGGUUAUUUCCAUGUAUUGGCUAUUGUGAAUAGAGCUGCAAUGAAUAUACAGGUGCUUGUGUCUUUUUAAAUGAAAGUUUUGUCCAGAUAUAUGCCAAAGAGUGGGAUUGCUGAGUCAUAUAUAUGGUAGUUCUGUAUAUAGUUUUCUGAGGAACCUCCAUACUGUUUUCCACAGUGGUUGCACCAAUUUACAUUCCCACCUACAGUGUAGAAGGGUUUCCUUUUCUCCACACCCUCUCCAGCAUUUGUUAUUUGUUGACUUGCUAAUGAUGGCCAUUCUGACUGGUAUGAGAUGGUACCUCAUAGUAGUUUUAAUUUGCAUUUCUCUAAUAAUCAGUGAUGUUGAGCAUUUUUCAUGUGCUUUUUGGCCAACUGUAUAUCUUCUUUGGAGAAACGUCUAUUCAGGUCUUCUGCCCAUUUUUACAUUGGGUUGUUGGCUUUUUUGCUGUUGAGUUGUAUAAGUUAUUUGUAUAUUUUAGAGGUUAAGCCCUUGUCAGUUGCAUUGUUUGAAACUAUUUUCUCCCAUUCUGUAAGUUGUGUUUUUUAGUUUUUUAUGGUUUUCUUUGCUGUGCAAAAGCUUGUCAGUUUGAUGAAGUCCCAUUAGUUUAUUUUUGCUUUUAUUCCUGUUGCCUUAGACUCACCUGAGAAGACAUUUGUAGGUUGAUAGCAGAGAAUGUUUUGCCUAUCUUCUCUUCUAGGAGUUUGAUGAUGUCUUGUCUUACAUGUAAGUCUUUAAGCCGUUUUGAGUUUAUUUUUGUGCAUGGUGUGAGGGUAUGUUCCAGUUUCAUUGAUUUACAUGCAGCUUUCCAGUUCUCCCAGAUCUUUUUUUUUAAAUGGUUUCUUUUGCUAUGCAAAAGCUUUUAAGUUUAAUUAGGUCCCAUUGGUUUAUUUUUAUUGUCAUUAUUCUAGGAGGUGGAUCAAACAAUACAUUGCUGUGAUUUAUGCCAAAGAGUGGUCUGCCUAUGUUUUCCUCUAGGAGUUUUAUAGUAUCUGGCCUUACGUUUAGAACUUUAAUCCAUUUUGAGUUUAUCUUUAUACCUGAUUCUUUGAGAGCUUGAAGACUCUAAGUUUCCCAACAGCAUUUCCAGGUGAUAAAGAAGGUUCCGACAGGUGCAAGAACCUCAAGAAGAGAGGAAUCCAUCUAAAUAUAUAGAUACUGUAGAUGGAAUCUAGGGGCAUGGCUUUCCUGGCCUUAAGAGGCCUCUUUUAAAAGUUCAAUUUGAUGGGGUUCCCAUUGUGGCUCAGUGGUUAAUGAAUCUGACUAGGAACCAUGAGGUUGCAGGUUCAAUCCCUGGCCUCGCUCAGUGGGUUAAAGAUCUGGCAUUGCCAGGGGCUGUGGUGUAGGUCGCAGACAUGGCUCAGAUCCCGUGUUGCUGUGGCUCUGGCGUAGCAGCUACAGCUCCGAUUAGAUGCCAAGCCUGGGAACAUCCAUAUGCCAUGGGAGCGACCCCAGAAAAGGCAAAAAGACAAAAAAAAAAAAAAAAAAAAAAAAA
RNAcentral lists this long non-coding RNA (4753 nucleotides) under Sus scrofa (pig). RNAcentral describes it as "lncRNA (ENSSSCG00050006831.1)". Lineage: Eukaryota; Metazoa; Chordata; Mammalia; Artiodactyla; Suidae. The record is from RNAcentral.